AUUGAACGCUGGCGGCAGGCUUAACACAUGCAAGUCGAGCGGUAGCACAAGGGAGCUUGCUCCCUGGGUGACGAGCGGCGGACGGGUGAGUAAUGUCUGGGAAACUGCCUGAUGGAGGGGGAUAACUACUGGAAACGGUAGCUAAUACCGCAUAACGUCGCAAGACCAAAGAGGGGGACCUUCGGGCCUCUUGCCAUCAGAUGUGCCCAGAUGGGAUUAGCUAGUAGGUGGGGUAAUGGCUCACCUAGGCGACGAUCCCUAGCCGGUCUGAGGGGAUGACCAGCCACACUGGAACUGAGACACGGUCCAGACUCCUACGGGAGGCAGCAGUGGGGAAUAUUGCACAAUGGGCGCAAGCCUGAUGCAGCCAUGCCGCGGGUGUGAAGAAGGCCUUCGGGUUGUAAAGCACUUUCAGCGAGGAGGAAGGUGGUGAACUUAAUACGUUCAUCAAUUGACGUUACUCGCAGAAGAAGCACCGGCUAACUCCGUGCCAGCCGCCGCAGUAAAAC
This 509-nucleotide ribosomal RNA is filed under the name uncultured bacterium. RNAcentral describes it as "bacterial SSU rRNA". It matches the Rfam family "Bacterial small subunit ribosomal RNA", at positions 30 to 526 of the family's 1533-position model. The record is from RNAcentral.